CCUACGGGUUGCAGCAGUGGGGAAUAUUGCACAAUGGGCGCAAGCCUGAUGCAGCCAUGCCGCGUGUGUGAAGAAGGCCUUCGGGUUGUAAAGCACCUUCAGCGGGGAGGAAGGCGUUAAGGUUAAUAACCUUGGCGAUUGACGUUACCCGCAGAAGAAGCACCGGCUAACUCCGUGCAGCAGCCGCGGUAAUACGGAGGGUGCAAGCGUUAAUCGGAAUUACUGGGCGUAAAGCGCACGCAGGCGGUCUGUCAAGUCGGAUGUGAAAUCCCCGGGCUCAACCUGGGAACUGCAUUCGAAACUGGCAGGCUAGAGUCUUGUAGAGGGGGGUAGAAUUCCAGGUGUAGCGGUGAAAUGCGUAGAGAUCUGGGGGAAUACCGGUGGCGAAGGCGGCCCCUGGACAAAGACUGACGCUUAGGUGCGAAAGCGUGGGGAGCAAACAGGAUUAGAUACCCUAGUAGUC
RNAcentral lists this ribosomal RNA (463 nucleotides) under uncultured bacterium. Its description in RNAcentral is "bacterial SSU rRNA". It matches the Rfam family "Bacterial small subunit ribosomal RNA", at positions 338 to 795 of the family's 1533-position model. The record is from RNAcentral.